RNAcentral lists this long non-coding RNA (2756 nucleotides) under Canis lupus familiaris (dog). Its description in RNAcentral is "lncRNA (ENSCAFG00030021628.1)". The record is from RNAcentral. Lineage: Eukaryota; Metazoa; Chordata; Mammalia; Carnivora; Canidae.
CUGGCCCCGCCCCCACCGGCUGCCCACGCCGCGCAGGCGCCGCCCGGGGCCUGUUUCCCCGCAUCUCGGGUUCACCCGCAGCCCCCUCCGUGCACACCUGGCGCCCUUGCACCUGGCGUGGUCGCUGCUCGCCCGGCCAAAGCUGGCGUCCCCGGCCGGCUUGCAGCGCGCUCAGGAGCCCGACUGCGGCUGCUCCCCGCGGAGGUUUUCCUCGUUUCCUUCUCAGAGCGAGAGCUCUAGCAGAGGAGCUGACCCUGGUGGGAUCGUCAGGUAAAGGAGAUGGAAACCCUAGGCCUGAGUCGGGCCAAAAGGAAAGAGAGUGCGUAUCAUUUUUUCCUGUACAUUUAGGAACAGGGAACAGGAGGGUGUUCUCAAAAGCCUGCUGCCCAGCAGCCUCUAGUUUCUGGUCAGCUUGCCCACAGCCUGAGGCUGCCCUCUGGUGGGCAAGUUUGGGAACACACUGAGAAUUCAUCCCAUCAUUUCUUCCCUAUGUUCCAGGUUAUAUCUCCUGAUUUAAAAAGUUUAAAGAAGGUUGGAAUCUUUUAAGGAAUAUGUUGUCAAUGAGAAGAGUUUUAAACAUCCAGAAUAAACUUUAAAAUCUCUGGUUUGCUUUCAAGGUAGGCUUAGGAGUAGCUUAACUGCUACUCACUUUGUGAUAAUACUGAAUGAAUAUUUGCUGUAUAUAAAGCUGGUACUAUGCAAGGAUCAUUUGCAUAGUACCAGCUUUAUAAAUAAAAGAGUAAAACCAACCCAUAAGAUUUGGGGGGUGGGGGCAGUAGCUACUGCCAUUGACCGAAUCCUGUGCGCCAGAGGUACCUUUUCUACAUGGGACAUAUGCUAGUGCAAAUUUCUGGGUCACUUUCCACAUCUCUGGGCUUUAUUUUAGAGCAUGGCAGUAUCACUAAGUUCUAUAGGGGCAGGGUCCAGGCUUGCACGCUCGGACCUUGUGCACACUCGAAGAGUUAGAAAAUAGUGAUCCUUUAAAAACACAGAACCAACAUUGACGUCUACCUUCCAAAUCAAAAUCAUUCGGUUCAAACAGACUGUCGUUUAAGAAAAUACACAAAACCCAUGUUUCUGAAAUAAUGCUGAUUCCUGAGUAAGAAGGGGGACUUGCAUUUGAUUCCCAGUCUAACUGCUUAGUAGAAUAAAUCCUGCACCAGCAACACUUGUAAAUUUGUGAAAAUGAAUUUUAUCUUUCCUUAAAAAAUAAAUUUUUUAAUCCAUCACACUUUCCUUCCCACCCUUUAGUUUUUGAUAAUGAUAAAAAUGAGCCAGUUAUCAAAGAAGAAAUAGUUCUUACUUCAAAAGAAACAUAAAUACAAAAAAUAAGUUGCUGGUUCCUAACAGGAAAAAUACAUUUUAAUAAUUGUGCGAUGAGAAGCUGCUUACGUACACAUUGCAGAUCAGAUAUUUGGAGUUGUUAGUCCACAUAGACGGGUGAUUGUAAACUUUAUUGCCAUUAAAAGAUUUCAAAUUGCAUUCAUGCUUCUGUGUACAUGUAAUGAAAAAUGGGCAAAAUAAUGAAGAUUGAUUUUUCCCUAAGUCGCUCUGUUUAAUUCUGCUGUCUACUCUUCUAUAAUGCUGCGUCUCUAAUUGUACACAGUUUAGUGAUCUCUAGGAGUACAGAAGUUGUCGCCCAUCAAUAAAAAUCACAAAGUUGGUUUAAAAAUAAAAUAAAAUAAAAACACAGAACCAAUGUAAGUGUGGAAGAGAGUGGAUGCUUACAAAACAGACUUUGUCUUCUUCCUGGGCACAGAAAUGAGAAUACUUUACCUGCCACCUUUUCUGUUUCCUUUGUAGUUAGCAUCCCCCAUGUGGAAAGGGAAGCAUGGUGCCCCUCUAAAGCAUUGAGAGGAAAGAGUCAAAUUAGUUCAAAGAGAAAACCCACGGAUUCCAAGAUCAUAAAAGUUAUUCUAGUUUCUUCUCACUUAAUCUGCAUGGAACAUGGCUUACAUAAAUUUCAGGUGAAAGCAGCACACUGCCCUAAAGAUAAAAUUGGCCCUUCUUAGUUGAGAGGGGAUGCCGUGGCGUGAAUUCAGAACAUCCUCCAGAACUCUCCCAGACAAAACAAACAGUGACUUCCAAAGCUUGUCUAGCUCUAAGCAUUUCACAGUUCUUUGAGAAGCUAGAAAUGUCUUAUGAUCACCCUAAAAGUGGAAAAUAAGAGCAGGAAGGAUGGAUGAUCUUUAGCAUAUUUUAUAACAUGAUCAUUAAUGCUCAAUUAAAACGAUGUGGUACUAGUGCUUGGCCAGGCAAACUGAUUCAGAAUAGAAAAUCCAGAAAUAGACAACAUGGGAAUUUUGUAUACCAUAAAGACAGCAUUUUUUUUUUUUUUAAAUAGGCUCCAUGCCCAGUGCAGAGCUCAAGGUGGGGCCCAAACCCAGGACCCUGAGAUAAAGACCUGAGCUGAAAUCAAGAGUUGGAUGCUCAACCGAGUGAGCCACUCAGGUGCCCCAAAGACAGCAUUUCUAACCAUUGGGAGUAAAGAUGGACUUCAUUAGUAUUGAGACAAUGGGAUAGUCAUUUGUAAAACAGCAUAUACUAGGAUAAACUCCAAAUAGAUUAAAGAUUGAUAUGUUAAGCCAAACAAAUCCAGGAGAAAAUACAGGUGAAUUCCUUUGAUUCUUGUCAUGGGAAAGACCCAUCUUAAUAUUGCCCAAAAUCCAAAAGCCAUGAAAGAAAAUACUGACACACACAUUCAGUUACAUAAAGAUAAGCCCAGGUAGCAAAACUUAUCAUCUUACAACUCUUGU